RNAcentral lists this ribosomal RNA (254 nucleotides) under uncultured bacterium. RNAcentral's name for it is "partial 16S ribosomal RNA". It matches the Rfam family "Bacterial small subunit ribosomal RNA", at positions 524 to 776 of the family's 1533-position model. The record is from RNAcentral.
UACGUAGGGUGCAAGCGUUGUCCGGAAUUAUUGGGCGUAAAGGGCUCGUAGGCGGUUUGUCGCGUCGGGAGUGAAAACACCGGGCUUAACUCGGUGCUUGCUUUCGAUACGGGCAGACUAGAGGUAUGCAGGGGGAGAACGGAAUUCCUGGUGUAGCGGUGAAAUGCGCAGAUAUCAGGAGGAACACCGGUGGCGAAGGCGGUUCUCUGGGCAUUACCUGACGCUGAGGAGCGAAAGUGUGGGGAGCGAACAGG